CCUACGGGUGGCAGCAGUGAGGAAUAUUGGUCAAUGGACGCAGGGCUGAACCAGCCAAGUCGCGUGAGGGAUGACGGUCCUAUGGAUUGUAAACCUCUUUUGUCAGGGAACAAAAGGGGCCACGUGUGCCGUUUUUCGAGUGCCUGAAGAAAAGCAUCGGCCACCUCCGUGCCAGCAGCCGCGGUAGUAAGGAGGAUGGGAGCGUUAUCCGGUUUUAUUGGGUUAAAAGGGGGCGCAGGCGGAAUGGAAAGUCAGCGGUAAAAUUUCGGGGGUCAACCCCGUCGUGCCGUUGAAACUGGCGUCCUUGAGUGAGCGAGAAGUAGGCGGAAUGCGUGGUGUAGCGGUGAAAUGCAUAGAUAUCACGCAGAACUCCGAUUGCGAAGGCAGCAUACCGGCGCUCAACUGACGCUCAUGCACGAAAGCGUGGGUAUCGAACAGGAUUAGAUACCCCGGUAGUC
RNAcentral lists this ribosomal RNA (458 nucleotides) under uncultured bacterium. RNAcentral's name for it is "partial 16S ribosomal RNA". It matches the Rfam family "Bacterial small subunit ribosomal RNA", at positions 338 to 795 of the family's 1533-position model. The record is from RNAcentral.